Molecule: ribosomal RNA, 301 nt
Filed under: uncultured bacterium
Lineage: Bacteria
Description: partial 16S ribosomal RNA
Rfam family: Bacterial small subunit ribosomal RNA
Source: RNAcentral
CAGCAGCCGCGGUAAUACGUAGGGUGCAAGCGUUAAUCGGAAUUACUGGGCGUAAAGCGUGCGCAGGCGGUUCGUUAAGACAGAUGUGAAAUCCCCGGGCUUAACCUGGGAACUGCAUUUGCGACUGGCGGGCUAGAGUAUGGCAAAGGGGGGUAGAAUUCCACGUGUAGCAGUGAAAUGCGUAGAGAUGUGGAGGAAUACCGAUGGCGAAGGCAGCCCCCUGGGCCAAUACUGACGCUCAUGCACGAAAGCGUGGGGAGCAAACAGGAUUAGAUACCCCGGUAGUCCCUGUCUCUUAUAC